RNAcentral lists this ribosomal RNA (401 nucleotides) under Bathyomphalus contortus. RNAcentral's name for it is "partial large subunit ribosomal RNA". It matches the Rfam family "Bacterial large subunit ribosomal RNA", at positions 1796 to 2564 of the family's 2925-position model. The record is from RNAcentral. Lineage: Eukaryota; Metazoa; Mollusca; Gastropoda; Planorbidae.
CCGCCUGUUUAUCAAAAACAUAGUUUUAUGAUUAUAUAUAAAAUAUUUUCUGCCCAAUGUAUUAAAAUAAAUGGCCGCAGUACCUUGACUGUGCUAAGGUAGCGUAAUCAAUUGGCUUUUAAUUGAAGUCUAGUAUGAAAGGGAUAAUGAAAUUUUUCUGUCUUAAAAACUUUAAUUAAAAUUUAUUUAAAAGGUGAAAAUACCUUUUUAAAAAAUAAAGACGAGAAGACCCUAUGAAUUUUUAUUUUUUUUGUUGGGGCGACAAUUUAACACUUUAAUCUUAAAUUAUAUAAAUAUAUCGAUUAUAUUAAUUUAAAAAAAAUUACCUUAGGGAUAACAGCAUUAUUGUUAAAACAGUUUGUGACCUCGAUGUUGGACUCGGAACUAUAAGGCUAGCCGUC